This 410-nucleotide ribosomal RNA is filed under the name uncultured bacterium. RNAcentral's name for it is "partial 16S ribosomal RNA". It matches the Rfam family "Bacterial small subunit ribosomal RNA", at positions 355 to 754 of the family's 1533-position model. The record is from RNAcentral.
UGGGGAAUUUUUGGACAAUGGGCGAAAGCCUGAUCCAGCCAUGCCGCGUGCAGGAUGAAGGCCUUCGGGUUGUAAACUGCUUUUGUACGGAACGAAAAGACUCUGGUUAAUACCUGGGGUCCAUGACGGUACCGUAAGAAUAAGACCGGCUAACUACGUGCCAGCAGCCGCGGUAAUACGUAGGGUGCAAGCGUUAAUCGGAAUUACUGGGCGUAAAGCGUGCGCAGGCGGUUAUAUAAAGACAGAUGUGAAAUCCCCGGGCUCAACCUGGGGACUGCAUUUGUGACUGUAUAGCUGGAGUACGGCAGAGGGGGGAUGGAAUUUCCGCGUGUAGCAGUGAAAUGCGUAGAUAUGCGGAGGAACACCGAUGGCGAAGGCAAUCCCCUGGGCCCGUACUGACGCUCAUGCAC